Molecule: ribosomal RNA, 1209 nt
Filed under: Microbacterium sp.
Lineage: Bacteria; Bacillati; Actinomycetota; Actinomycetes; Micrococcales; Microbacteriaceae
Description: bacterial SSU rRNA
Source: RNAcentral
GGUGACCAGGUGCUUGCACUUGGGGAUCAGUGGCGAACGGGUGAGUAACACGUGAGCAACCUGCCCCUGACUCUGGGAUAAGCGCUGGAAACGGCGUCUAAUACUGGAUACGAGACGUGAUCGCAUGGUCGAUGUCUGGAAAGAUUUUUCGGUUGGGGAUGGGCUCGCGGCCUAUCAGCUUGUUGGUGAGGUAAUGGCUCACCAAGGCGUCGACGGGUAGCCGGCCUGAGAGGGUGACCGGCCACACUGGGACUGAGACACGGCCCAGACUCCUACGGGAGGCAGCAGUGGGGAAUAUUGCACAAUGGGCGGAAGCCUGAUGCAGCAACGCCGCGUGAGGGAUGACGGCCUUCGGGUUGUAAACCUCUUUUAGCAGGGAAGAAGCGAGAGUGACGGUACCUGCAGAAAAAGCACCGGCUAACUACGUGCCAGCAGCCGCGGUAAUACGUAGGGUGCAAGCGUUAUCCGGAAUUAUUGGGCGUAAAGAGCUCGUAGGCGGUUUGUCGCGUCUGCUGUGAAAUCUGGAGGCUCAACCUCCAGCCUGCAGUGGGUACGGGCAGACUAGAGUGCGGUAGGGGAGAUUGGAAUUCCUGGUGUAGCGGUGGAAUGCGCAGAUAUCAGGAGGAACACCGAUGGCGAAGGCAGAUCUCUGGGCCGUUACUGACGCUGAGGAGCGAAAGGGUGGGGAGCAAACAGGCUUAGAUACCCUGGUAGUCCACCCCGUAAACGUUGGGAACUAGUUGUGGGGUCCAUUCCACGGAUUCCGUGACGCAGCUAACGCAUUAAGUUCCCCGCCUGGGGAGUACGGCCGCAAGGCUAAAACUCAAAGGAAUUGACGGGGACCCGCACAAGCGGCGGAGCAUGCGGAUUAAUUCGAUGCAACGCGAAGAACCUUACCAAGGCUUGACAUAUACGAGAACGGGCCAGAAAUGGUCAACUCUUUGGACACUCGUAAACAGGUGGUGCAUGGUUGUCGUCAGCUCGUGUCGUGAGAUGUUGGGUUAAGUCCCGCAACGAGCGCAACCCUCGUUCUAUGUUGCCAGCACGUAAUGGUGGGAACUCAUGGGAUACUGCCGGGGUCAACUCGGAGGAAGGUGGGGAUGACGUCAAUCAUCAUGCCCCUUAUGUCUGGGCUUCAGCAUGCUACAUGGCCGGUACAUGGGCAGCGAUCCGUGAGKGGAGCGAUCCAAAAGCCGUCCAGUUCGGAUG